GCCGGGCGCAGUGUCCCAUGCCUGUAGUCCCAGCUACUUGGGAGGCUGAGGUGGGAGGAUCGCUUGAGCAAAGGAGUUCUGAGCUGUAGUGCGUUAUGCCAAUCGGGCGUCCACACUAAGUUCGGCAUCGAUAUGGUGACCUCCCGGGAGUGGGGGACCACCAGGUUGCCUAAGGAGGGGUGAACCGGCCCAGGUUGGAAACAGAGCAGGUCAAAACUCCUGUGCUGAUCGGCAGUGGGAUCACGCAUGUGAAUAGCCACUGUACUCCAGCCUUGGCAACAUAGCGAGACCCUGUCUCUU
Unclassified non-coding RNA from Callithrix jacchus (white-tufted-ear marmoset), 300 nucleotides. It matches the Rfam family "Metazoan signal recognition particle RNA". From Rfam's summary of the family: The signal recognition particle (SRP) is a universally conserved ribonucleoprotein. It is involved in the co-translational targeting of proteins to membranes. The record is from Ensembl. Lineage: Eukaryota; Metazoa; Chordata; Mammalia; Primates; Cebidae.